UCCCAGCGGUCCAAGUCGCAGCCACAUUUGUUGGGUCUAAAACAUCCGUAGCUUGCUUUGCAAGUCUUUUGUGAAAUCGGGCAUCUUAAGUGUCCGGCGUGCAAAAGAUACUGCUUAGCUAGAGACCGGGAGGCGUAAAGAGUACUUUAGGAGUAGCGGUUAAAUGCGUUGAUCCUUAAGGGACUAUCAGUCGCGAAGGCGCUUUACGAGAACGGAUCUGACAGUGAGGGAUGAAGGCUAGGGGCGCAAAGUG
RNAcentral lists this ribosomal RNA (253 nucleotides) under uncultured archaeon. Its description in RNAcentral is "partial 16S ribosomal RNA". It matches the Rfam family "Archaeal small subunit ribosomal RNA", at positions 474 to 726 of the family's 1478-position model. The record is from RNAcentral.